Molecule: long non-coding RNA, 311 nt
Organism: Coregonus clupeaformis (lake whitefish)
Lineage: Eukaryota; Metazoa; Chordata; Actinopteri; Salmoniformes; Salmonidae
Exons: 3
Source: RefSeq, a predicted model, not a curated record
CUUUUAUGCUGCCCGCUUGAAACCACCACCUCCGUUUUUAUCAUUAGUCUUAUUGCCUUCAUUUUCUUAAGCGCCAUCUUAUCAUCACCUCUGAUUUGCAGGUUUCCUGGAUGAACUACAUUUCCCAUAAUGCAUGUUUGCCCGGGACAUUGACGGUGGAGGAAGGUCCAUGAGUUUUCGCUGUUCGCCGGUAAUGCAAGUGCGUACUGCUCAAGUGUGUGGUUGUGAGAUCAUCUCGAAAUCCUUUUAACAGUUCAGGUAGGAUGUAUUAUGAAAUAGUGUUACUAAUGUAAUACAUUGCUAAAACCAAG